GCCGACGUAGCUCAACUGGCAGAGCAGCGGUUUUGUAAACCGCCGGUUGGGGGUUCGAUUCCCUCCGUCGGCUCCA
This 76-nucleotide transfer RNA is filed under the name Chloroflexota bacterium. RNAcentral's name for it is "tRNA-Thr". It matches the Rfam family "tRNA". Rfam says of the family: Transfer RNA (tRNA) molecules are approximately 80 nucleotides in length. The record is from RNAcentral. Lineage: Bacteria; Bacillati; Chloroflexota.